Molecule: long non-coding RNA, 1799 nt
Organism: Canis lupus familiaris (dog)
Lineage: Eukaryota; Metazoa; Chordata; Mammalia; Carnivora; Canidae
Exons: 4
Source: RefSeq, a predicted model, not a curated record
CCCAACUGCCUAACCCAGACCAAGAGAACAAAUCCCAUAGGGCAUGAGGAUCAACUUUAGAGACUCAAAUAGCAUUUUCUUUAAAGCAAUACUAGCUUGUUUAUCUCUCCUGUUCCAUUGAUCUAAAUGCAACAAAAACUUCAGCAAUAGCACAGAUGCUACCAUGAAUGACUAGCCAACAAGAAAUCCAGGACAAUGUAAUGGUUUAUCACUACUUUUGCCAACAAGCUGAGACUGAUCUGUAUUCUAUCUAUGGCAAAAGUGUUAUCAUCAAUAACAUUUGCCAAAGUUAGUAAUAGGUUUCCUGGUCUUUUCUAUUUGUAUCAUCCCCCACCCUCCACUGGGAACACUGCUCUGAUCAUUCACAUAAAAAAUGAAUCUGUAUUUCUCCCAGGUGAAGUGCCUGAAUAAUAAAAAAUGGUCUUAUUUUGCAACUCAUGUCUGGAGUUGGAUUCUCCAGCUUUGGUUUUUUAUGGACUUAAAUAAAUAAGUCUGUGUCUCUGUGUAUAGACAAAUCUUGAAAUACUUUCCUAAGUGCAAGAGGUGUUAGUUUGAGAAAAAUAGGUCCAGGCAUUUUGGACACAAAGAAAAUAGUAUUUAGUAGGGGUGCAUGGAUACUCAGGAAAAAAGAUAUUUAUUAUAUAAGGUCAGAACCAAGGCCUUACAUUAGCUAGGUUACAGAUUUGGCUCUCCACUGGUGUCUUCAAGAUGACAGGACAAUUUUUAUCCCAGUAUCCCUUCUUUUAUAAUAAAUGCAAGUAUCCUGAGAAUAGUUGAAGAGAUCAACACAAAGAGAGCAGAUUGCAGAUCUGGUGCUGACUUACCAUAUUGGUGAAGACUUGACAAGCCAUGAACAGCAAGGCACAAAGGGAUUCUAUGGGUCCUGCAUCUGUUUGAAGGCUGGGGGCCAACGAUAAGCAGGGCAAAUCAUUUUUCCAGGAAAGCCCCAGAAAUAAAGGAACUCCACCCAAAUGAAACAAACAAACAAACAAAUUAGAAGCUAUUUAUUCAGAGCUUGCUGAAGCAAAGAAAGUCAGCCACCAUCGCUUGCAUUUGGCGGAAACUCAAAGGCAGGCAAAGGAGGGGGAAUAUUCAUAAUUAAAAAGAAAGACUUCAGGAAGCACUCCACAAAUAUUUGUUGACCUGGAGUGACAUUAUCCAUCUGAAGUAUUGUCCCCUCCAAACUGGCUACCUUCAAGCCUUGUGCUUUUAAACCAAUGUGUAAAGCUGCUCUAUAUAUUUUCUGUGAAAAUCAUAUCUAAAGUGGAGAAGUUUGUGAAGCCCUGUGGAGCAAUAGCCAGGCCCACAACAGGUAUUACCUGGAAAAAUCUAUAGUUUUGGAGUUUUUUUUUUUAAAGUGAAGAAAAAAAUUAAAAUGAGUACAGAAUCGUGGACACACUACUUAUAUGCUGGAGAUAAUUUCAACAUCAUGAGAAAUGUCAGACUGAUCUAAGAAUAUGCUGGAAUAGAGUCUGAAAGACAACUGAAAUUAGUGCCUGUCGGCUUCCUGUCAGCAGAAAACAUUUUGCAAAAUGUUUGAGCUGCUUUUUUAUUUUUUAUUUUAUUUAUUUGAGAGAGAGAGAGAGAGCGUAUGAGAGAGCAUCAGUGGGAGAAGGAGCAGGAGAGGGAGAAGCAGACCCCCUGCUGAGCAGAGGGCCUGGAUCCCAGGACUCUGAGACUGUGACCUGAGCAGUCUUCAACAUUUUCCCAUUAAGUACAGUAUUGGCUAUAGAUUUAAUGAAUAUAUUUAUCAUCAUAAAGAAGUUUCUUAGUUUGCAACUUCUCAUGAAUGUGUGUUU